This 200-nucleotide long non-coding RNA is filed under the name Phoenix dactylifera (date palm). RNAcentral's name for it is "long non-coding RNA (PDAC_LNC016665)". The record is from RNAcentral. Lineage: Eukaryota; Viridiplantae; Streptophyta; Magnoliopsida; Arecales; Arecaceae.
AAAAAUAUUGCUUAUAUCACAAAAAUGAUUAAUACUUGCAAGUUAUGUUUUAAUCAACUAAUAAAGUAAUUUCAAUAUGAGAGGAUGCAAUAAUAACUUAUAUCAUUAUUUCUUUCAUUUAACUCAUUCUUCUUAAUUACAUUUUAAAUUCAAUUCUUUAGCACAUGUCUAGAGCACCCAUUGUUUAGAUAACAUCUUUC